This 592-nucleotide long non-coding RNA is filed under the name Pan troglodytes (chimpanzee). RNAcentral's name for it is "long non-coding RNA NONPTRT011013". The record is from RNAcentral. Lineage: Eukaryota; Metazoa; Chordata; Mammalia; Primates; Hominidae.
UCUGAAGCUGGGCUCUGACGUCCAAGGCGCCAAGGAGGCCCCUUCCAGAGGGACAGGAGGAUGGUGCAGCCAUCAAAUCUGGCCAGCGCCCUCGAACCUGGUGAUGCUGAGACACAGGUCAAGUGGCAGCUCAAGAUGUCAGGUCGGGCUUUGCGGACAGAAUUGGACUCGGCGCAGAAGAGGAGGGCGUCAGCGUUUCGGGGACGGUUGGCAGCAGAGGGUGCUGCCCUGCUCUCCGUGGGUGAGAGGUGACUCGAGGAGACCGCAGGAGCCCCUUGGAGGUGAAGCCACAGGUGGCAUCCCGGAAUCGGCAGGAGGCUGAGACGUAGACCCUUGCGUGCUGCUGUCAGAGGAGAGACCCGAAGACUACUUGAGACUGUUGCUUGAAAGCAGUGUCGGCAGCACCUGGACCUGGACUUGUGACGCUGAUGGAUUUCAGCUCUAAAGAGAAACUCCUGUCUAUUCCCAGACAGAGAGAAAGAGCAGAAGAGCAGACUACCUGCAAAGGACAGACUUAGGUGGGCGCCCCUGUGCCAGAGGGCAGCGGGGAGGCCGGGUGCAUGCUGAGCCCGAGUGUGUGUGUAUGUGUACA